Molecule: small nuclear RNA, 301 nt
Filed under: Erinaceus europaeus (western European hedgehog)
Lineage: Eukaryota; Metazoa; Chordata; Mammalia; Eulipotyphla; Erinaceidae
Description: 7SK RNA
Rfam family: 7SK RNA
About the family: 7SK was discovered as an abundant small nuclear RNA in the mid-70s but a possible function has only recently been suggested.
Source: Rfam by way of RNAcentral
GGACUUUAGGGCAAUCUGGCUGCAACUUCUGAUUACCAGGGUUCAUUAUGCUGAUCUAGCUGGUCAGACAGGUGUCUACUUCUUACCGCAUUGUUCUCUUAUGCCCCUAUUAAAUCUGCAUGCUCAAUCCAGGAAGAUGAACUUUGUCCUAAAAGAGAUGGACUAUUCUUCUUUAAAGGGUGUAUGAAUAUCUCUACUUUGCUAGAACCUCCAAAUAGCUCUCAAGAUCCACAGUCAUCUACAGGAACUUUAUUUAGGGGAAAAAAAAACAUUUACAAAUUCCAUCUGGGGGGGGGGCGGU